Molecule: ribosomal RNA, 303 nt
Filed under: uncultured bacterium
Lineage: Bacteria
Description: partial 16S ribosomal RNA
Rfam family: Bacterial small subunit ribosomal RNA
Source: RNAcentral
AGCAGCCGCCGCGGGAAUACGUAGGUGGCAAGCGUUGUCCGGAAUUAUUGGGCGUAAAGGGCUCGCAGGCGGUUUCUUAAGUCUGAUGUGAAAGCCCCCGGCUCAACCGGGGAGGGUCAUUGGAAACUGGGAAACUUGAGUGCAGAAGAGGAGAGUGGAAUUCCACGUGUAGCGGUGAGAUGCGUAGAGAUGUGGAGGAACACCAGUGGCGAAGGCGACUCUCUGGUCUGUAACUGACGCUGAGGAGCGAAAGCGUGGGGAGCGAACAGGAUUAGAUACCCCCGUAGUCCCUGUCUCUUAUAC